RNAcentral lists this ribosomal RNA (540 nucleotides) under Mycolicibacterium mageritense. RNAcentral's name for it is "bacterial SSU rRNA". It matches the Rfam family "Bacterial small subunit ribosomal RNA", at positions 44 to 601 of the family's 1533-position model. Lineage: Bacteria; Bacillati; Actinomycetota; Actinomycetes; Mycobacteriales; Mycobacteriaceae. The record is from RNAcentral.
GUGCUUAACACAUGCAAGUCGAACGGAAAGGCCCUUCGGGGUGCUCGAGUGGCGAACGGGUGAGUAACACGUGGGUGAUCUGCCCUGCACUUUGGGAUAAGCCUGGGAAACUGGGUCUAAUACCGAAUAGGACUCCGGACUGCAUGGUCUGGGGUGGAAAGCUUUUGCGGUGUGGGAUGGGCCCGCGGCCUAUCAGCUUGUUGGUGGGGUGAUGGCCUACCAAGGCGACGACGGGUAGCCGGCCUGAGAGGGUGACCGGCCACACUGGGACUGAGAUACGGCCCAGACUCCUACGGGAGGCAGCAGUGGGGAAUAUUGCACAAUGGGCGCAAGCCUGAUGCAGCGACGCCGCGUGAGGGAUGACGGCCUUCGGGUUGUAAACCUCUUUCAGCACAGACGAAGCGCGAGUGACGGUAUGUGCAGAAGAAGGACCGGCCAACUACGUGCCAGCAGCCGCGGUAAUACGUAGGGUCCGAGCGUUGUCCGGAAUUACUGGGCGUAAAGAGCUCGUAGGUGGUUUGUCGCGUUGUUCGUGAAAUC